This 73-nucleotide transfer RNA is filed under the name Camelus bactrianus (Bactrian camel). It matches the Rfam family "tRNA". From Rfam's summary of the family: Transfer RNA (tRNA) molecules are approximately 80 nucleotides in length. Their secondary structure includes four short double-helical elements and three loops (D, anti-codon, and T loops). Further hydrogen bonds mediate the characteristic L-shaped molecular structure. tRNAs have two regions of fundamental functional importance: the anti-codon, which is responsible for specific mRNA codon recognition, and the 3' end, to which the tRNAs corresponding amino acid is attached (by aminoacyl-tRNA synthetases). tRNAs cope with the degeneracy of the genetic code in two manners: having more than one tRNA (with a specific anti-codon) for a particular amino acid; and 'wobble' base-pairing, i.e. permitting non-standard base-pairing at the 3rd anti-codon position. RNAcentral also lists the same sequence under 2 other names. Lineage: Eukaryota; Metazoa; Chordata; Mammalia; Artiodactyla; Camelidae. The record is from Rfam by way of RNAcentral.
GAGGGUAUAGCUCAAGUGGUAGAGUGCAUGCUUAGCAUGCACAGGGACCUGGGUUCAAUCUCCAGUACCUCCU